ACCUCCGAGUGGGGAAUAACUGAGAGAAAUCUUAGCUAAUACCGCAUAACACUUACGAGUCAAAGCAGCAAUGCGCUUGGAGAGGAGUUCGCGGCAGAUUAGUUAGUUGGCGGGGUAAUGGCCCACCAAGACGAUGAUCUGUAUCCGGCCUGAGAGGGCGCACGGACACACUGGAACUGAAACACGGUCCAGACUCCUACGGGAGGCAGCAGUGGGGAAUUUUGCGCAAUGGGGGAAACCCUGACGCAGCAACGCCGCGUGGAGGAUGAAAUCCCUUGGGAUGUAAACUCCUUUCGAUAGGGAAGAUAAUGACGGUACCUAUAGAAGAAGCCCCGGCUAACUUCGUGCC
Molecule: ribosomal RNA, 349 nt
Filed under: uncultured bacterium
Lineage: Bacteria
Description: bacterial SSU rRNA
Rfam family: Bacterial small subunit ribosomal RNA
Source: RNAcentral